GAUGAGAACGUAGCGAAAUGCGAUAAGUAAUGUGAAUUGCAGAAUUCAGUGAAUCAUCGAAUCUUUGAACGCACAUUGCGCCCGCCAGUAUUCUGGCGGGCAUGCCUGUUCGAGCGUCAUUUCAACCAUCAAGCCCCGGCUUGUGUUGGGGACCUGCGGCUGCCGCAGGCCCUGAAAACCAGUGGCGGGCUCGCUAGUCACUCCGAGCGUAGUAAUACAUCUCGCUCAGGGCGUGCUGCGGGUUCCGGCCGUUAAAAAGCCUUAUUUACCCAAGGUUGACCUCGGAUCAGGUAGGAAGACCCGCUGAACUUAAGCAUAUCAAUAAGCGGAGGA
RNAcentral lists this unclassified non-coding RNA (333 nucleotides) under soil metagenome. Its description in RNAcentral is "partial contains 5.8S ribosomal RNA, internal transcribed spacer 2, and large subunit ribosomal RNA". The stretch from base 5 to 119 matches the Rfam family "5.8S ribosomal RNA", at positions 40 to 154 of the family's 154-position model. The record is from RNAcentral.